Molecule: transfer RNA, 74 nt
Filed under: Candidatus Adlerbacteria bacterium RIFOXYB1_FULL_48_10
Lineage: Bacteria; Candidatus Adleribacteriota
Also listed under: 6 other names
Description: tRNA-Gln
Rfam family: tRNA
About the family: Transfer RNA (tRNA) molecules are approximately 80 nucleotides in length. Their secondary structure includes four short double-helical elements and three loops (D, anti-codon, and T loops).
Source: RNAcentral
UGCCCGAUCGUCUAAUGGUAGGACAGCGGCCUUUGAAGCCGUUAAUUGGGGUUCGAAUCCCUGUCGGGCAGCCA